This 601-nucleotide ribosomal RNA is filed under the name Hanseniaspora uvarum. RNAcentral describes it as "eukaryotic LSU rRNA". It matches the Rfam family "Eukaryotic large subunit ribosomal RNA", at positions 41 to 657 of the family's 3401-position model. Lineage: Eukaryota; Fungi; Ascomycota; Saccharomycetes; Saccharomycodales; Saccharomycodaceae. The record is from RNAcentral.
UAUCCUAUGCGGAGGAAAAGAAACCAACUGGGAUUACCUUAGUAACGGCGAGUGAAGCGGUAAAAGCUCAAAUUUGAAAUCUGGUACUUUCAGUGCCCGAGUUGUAAUUUGUAGAAUUUGUCUUUGAUUAGGUCCUUGUCUAUGUUCCUUGGAACAGGACGUCAUAGAGGGUGAGAAUCCCGUUUGGCGAGGAUACCUUUUCUCUGUAAGACUUUUUCGAAGAGUCGAGUUGUUUGGGAAUGCAGCUCAAAGUGGGUGGUAAAUUCCAUCUAAAGCUAAAUAUUGGCGAGAGACCGAUAGCGAACAAGUACAGUGAUGGAAAGAUGAAAAGAACUUUGAAAAGAGAGUGAAAAAGUACGUGAAAUUGUUGAAAGGGAAGGGCAUUUGAUCAGACAUGGUGUUUUUUGCAUGCACUCGCCUCUCGUGGGCUUGGGCCUCUCAAAAAUUUCACUGGGCCAACAUCAAUUCUGGCAGCAGGAUAAAUCAUUAAGAAUGUAGCUACUUCGGUAGUGUUAUAGCUUUUUGGAAUACUGUUAGCCGGGAUUGAGGACUGCGCUUCGGCAAGGAUGUUGGCAUAAUGGUUAAAUGCCGCCCGUCUUAA